Non-coding RNA from Ciona intestinalis (vase tunicate), 139 nucleotides. Lineage: Eukaryota; Metazoa; Chordata; Ascidiacea; Phlebobranchia; Cionidae. The record is from Rfam.
UUCGGUCAUUAUCGAAGCCAGUGGUAUUAUAUUAAUUAAUUUCACUGGUCAAAAUAUGACCAACAUAAACGGUUGCUUGACGGUCGCUGCUUUAAUUCUAUUAAUGUGUAAACCAGCAUCACUGAAGUACCCUACAAUU